This 253-nucleotide ribosomal RNA is filed under the name uncultured bacterium. RNAcentral describes it as "partial 16S ribosomal RNA". It matches the Rfam family "Bacterial small subunit ribosomal RNA", at positions 524 to 776 of the family's 1533-position model. The record is from RNAcentral.
UACAGAGGGUGCGAGCGUUAAUCGGAAUUACUGGGCGUAAAGCGUGCGCAGGCGGCUAUGUAAGACAGGUGUGAAAUCCCCGGGCUUAACCUGGGAACUGCAUUUGUGACUGCAUAGCUAGAGUACGGUAGAGGGGGAUGGAAUUCCGCGUGUAGCAGUGAAAUGCGUAGAUAUGCGGAGGAACACCGAUGGCGAAGGCAAUCCCCUGGACCUGUACUGACGCUCAUGCACGAAAGCGUGGGGAGCAAACAGG